GACGAACGCUGGCGGCGUGCUUAACACAUGCAAGUCGAACGUGAUUUUUGUGGAAAUUCUUUCGGGAAUGGAAAUGAAAUGAAAGUGGCGAACGGGUGAGUAACACGUGAGCAACCUACCUUACACAGGGGGAUAGCCGUUGGAAACGACGAUUAAUACCGCAUGAGACCACAGAAUCGCAUGAUAUAGGGGUCAAAGAUUUAUCGGUGUAAGAAGGGCUCGCGUCUGAUUAGCUAGUUGGAAGGGUAAAGGCCUACCAAGGCGACGAUCAGUAGCCGGUCUGAGAGGAUGAACGGCCACAUUGGAACUGAGACACGGUCCAAACUCCUACGGGAGGCAGCAGUGGGGAAUAUUGCACAAUGGGGGGAACCCUGAUGCAGCGAUGCCGCGUGAGCGAAGAAGGUUUUCGAAUCGUAAAGCUCUGUCCUAUGAGAAGAUAAU
Molecule: ribosomal RNA, 441 nt
Filed under: Parvimonas micra
Lineage: Bacteria; Bacillati; Bacillota; Tissierellia; Tissierellales; Peptoniphilaceae
Description: bacterial SSU rRNA
Rfam family: Bacterial small subunit ribosomal RNA
Source: RNAcentral